CUCCAGCACAGUCUGCAGACGUCAUGUUGUAUGACAACCGGAGUGAGUUCAUUUCAAGGAUUAUAUCAUCAACUUUGAUAUUUUCAUGAACAGCCCUCAAAAAGGUUGCUUCAACCUCCUUCUCAAAGGUGUCAUCUCUAGAGUCAUCAUCACCUUCAGAAUCAUUACUGUUAUAGUCAGGUUUCAACUCUCCAGAAGGUGAUAGAGCACUUCCAUCUAGAUUCAACAAUUCCAAAUCAUCUUCUAUAGCUUGCAUAGCCUCCGCAAGUUUCUCA
Molecule: unclassified non-coding RNA, 275 nt
Filed under: Hevea brasiliensis (rubber tree)
Lineage: Eukaryota; Viridiplantae; Streptophyta; Magnoliopsida; Malpighiales; Euphorbiaceae
Source: RNAcentral